This is an RNA transcript of Myotis myotis, 1923 nucleotides long. It is a transcript of the gene named DnaJ heat shock protein family (Hsp40) member C5 gamma, with no coding region annotated. Lineage: Eukaryota; Metazoa; Chordata; Mammalia; Chiroptera; Vespertilionidae. The record is from RefSeq and is a predicted model, not a curated record. The transcript has 6 exons.
GGCCCCGCGGUGUGAGGGUUCACGCCCUGGCGGAGGGUGUGGAAGGCCGGCCCGGCUGGCUGAAAGGAGGUAGAGGCCGGUCGGGUCCGGCGGGGAGUCCACCCAGCACAGGGGGCCUGGGGAGCCGGAGCGCUCCCUGCCGAGCUCGUUGCCCUGGUUCUCCUGGGCCACAUCCUCGCAGGCUCUCCCCAUCUCCGGGUCUCACUCCCUGUCCCCUUGCUGGUCGCUGGCCGGGCCGUACAGCUACCCCGGCCCUACAGCUGCCCCCUUUCACUCCCGCUUCAGCCUCGCCCUUUGCCCCUGAAGGCAAUGCGUUUCCUGCCACUGGGAGUUCACGUCUCUGCAGCCUGGCCUGUGGCCGUCCUCACUUGACUAGAUCAUGACUCACGUCGACGAAGCAGCCCGCCGGCUGUCCAAGACCGGGACGAGCCUCUACGCAGUGCUGGAGCUCAAGAAGGGCGCCUCACCUGAUGAAAUCAAAAAGGCCUACAGGAGACUGGCCUUGAAGUAUCACCCAGACAAAAAUCCAGGGGAUGCUCAAGCAGCAGAAAUAUUCAAAGAGAUCAACGCUGCUCACUCUGUACUGAGUGAUGAAAAGAAGCGGAAAAUCUACGACCGGCAUGGCUCGUUGGGAUUGUAUUUAUACGAUCACUUUGGUGAAGACGGCGUCAGAUACUAUUUUAUGAUGAACAGUUGUUGGUUCAAGACACUUGUCUUCCUGUGUGUUCUACUCACCUGUUGCUGCUGCUGCUGUUGCUGCUGCUUUUGUUGUGGGACACUAAAGCCGCCCCCCGAGGACAUAGCGAGGAGAAAAUAUGAGCAGAACGUCCAGACCCAGCCCGGGCGAGCGGGUGAGGACCCGACAGGGACAAGGAAACAAAGCGACUUUUAGAAGAUCGGAAGAAAAUGAUAGUGAAGAUAAUUAAAAGAUGAAGAAGAGUGGGGUGCUGACCCAAUGAAGGUGACGUCCACUGCCCAGUCCACUGGACACAUCGAAGAGAGGAGCAAGUAGCCCUGUCCUGACAUUGACCCUGAAUUGCCCCUCUUCUUGCAAGAAUCCCAACUCGAGAAGCACUGAUGGCGUCCAUCCCAGUGAGGAUGCGGUCUCUGCCCCUGACGGCGUCACUCACCCUGGCCACACAGGGUCGCCCAGCGACUCUUCUUUUUUAGCUCCGGUCCCAGUUUUAAUGUUAGAGAGCAGACACACACACCCCAGCCCUGCCCUUGAGAGAUCUCAGGCGGUGGUGAUAGACUUCCCAGCAUCCUUUUCCCCGCGCCUCCUUUGGGAUUUGAGCCCAUGUCAGCUGGGUAGGGUCCCUGAGUCACUUGUGAUGUCUCCACCCAAUCCAGAAAGCUGAGCAGAGUGGAUCCAGUCCCAGAGCUGCGGUACCAUUAAUCCUCCUUCGUUGCAACUCUGCACCAAGGACUCUUAGCAUCAGGUUCAUUCCUAAGACAGUACUCCUUUCCGGGUGGGACCAGCUGCACCUUCUUCUGGUGCCCAUACCCUUAGCAUCACCAACCUCAUUCCAUGCCACCACGCGUCAGCCGGGGACAGGACAAAUGCGUUUGAGGCUCAGGGGUAGUUCUCCCGCUUGUGAGUUGUCCCUGGGCGGCAGCUGCCAGCUUCACCCCAUCAGCAUGGGCCCUGUGGUUGCCUGACGUUCUCAAUCGGUGCCUGUUUGCCUCCGUUCUUUCACCACCUCUGAUGCAGGCUGUUUUCAAAACAGAGGCAUGAAACCCACGAUAGGGAAAUGAUUGUACGUUUACAGACCCUUUUCCCACUCGGGCCUCUUCACACAACCUGUUUGGUAUCCUCUCCCCAGCAUUUAUUUCCCAUCCACGAGGGUCAGAGUUUUGUACGUCCUCAUACUUGUCUGUCCUGACUGGGAGAAGGGCUGAAGAAUGUCAGUAAAUAAAAGAGCU